ACUCCAGAGGGGGAGGGGCAGCCCCACCCUGCAGCUCGACCACAGCACCCAUUGUGUGUGCUGGGCCCUUGAAGCUCUAACCCAGCUCAAGUUUCUGGAAAACCAGUCUUCCGUAGAGCUGAAUAUUUAAUGGCACUAGAGCCAAUAGGCAACCGUGAAGCAGGCAGUUGGGCUCUCGAGCACCUGCAGCUCCGGAAGUCGGCGAAUGAAUGAGAGAAGGGCUAGGCGGCCGCCUCCACUCCUCCUUACUGCGUCCGCUCUGGAGUUAACAGACACAGAAACCAUGACGUAACCAACAGUGAUCUUCAAAGCACGUGACUGUUGGUUGAGCAACGGCACUGACAGAUCAGAAAAGCUGCCAGCUAUGCCCUAACUUCAUAGCUACCAGCUCUGUAUGGAGUUUUAACUUGCCAUAAACUACAGAGAACUUACCAGCCCCUGAGAAAUAAAGGAAAUCUUCCAUUUCUCAAUCUCUCCAAGCUGUACAAAGAGCAGUGUCACACAGUUCACAAAAGAUAAUUUUAAUUGGUCUAUAAACACAUAAAAAAAUUACAU
Long non-coding RNA from Fukomys damarensis (Damara mole-rat), 555 nucleotides. RefSeq lists it as uncharacterized. The record is from RefSeq and is a predicted model, not a curated record. The transcript has 5 exons. NCBI's taxonomy places the organism in Eukaryota, Metazoa, Chordata, Mammalia, Rodentia, Bathyergidae.